CCUACGGGUGGCAGCAGUGGGGAAUAUUGGGCAAUGGGCGCAAGCCUGAUCCAGCAACGCCGCGUGUAGGAUGAAGGCCCUCGGGUUGUAAACCUCUUUUAUCAAGGACGAAACAAAUGACGCUACUUCCUGAAUAAGCUACGGUUAACUACAGGCUAGCAGCCGCGGUAAUACGUAGGUGGCAUGCGUUAUCCGGAUUUACUGGGUGUAAAGGGCGUGUAGGCUGGACUGCAAGUCAGAUGUGAAUAUCAUGGGAUGAACCGAUGGCCUGCAUUUGCGACUGUAAGUCUUGAGUGUUGGAGAGGCAGGCGGAAUGCCGGGUGUAGCGGUGAAAUGCGUAGAUAUACGGAGGAACACCAAUGGCGAAGGCAGCCUGCUGAACAAUAACUGACGCUGAUGCGCGAAAGCGUGGGGAGCAAACAGGAUUAGAUACCCCUGUAGUC
Molecule: ribosomal RNA, 443 nt
Filed under: uncultured bacterium
Lineage: Bacteria
Description: partial 16S ribosomal RNA
Rfam family: Bacterial small subunit ribosomal RNA
Source: RNAcentral